RNAcentral lists this ribosomal RNA (253 nucleotides) under uncultured bacterium. Its description in RNAcentral is "partial 16S ribosomal RNA". It matches the Rfam family "Bacterial small subunit ribosomal RNA", at positions 524 to 776 of the family's 1533-position model. The record is from RNAcentral.
UACGGAGGGUGCAAGCGUUAUCCGGAUUUAUUGGGCGUAAAGCGUCCGCAGGCGGUUUUUCAAGUCUGCUGUUAAAGCGCGAGGCUUAACUUCGUACAGGCAGUGGAAACUGGAAGACUUGAGUAUGGUAGGGGUAGCGGGAAUUCCCAGUGUAGCGGUGAAAUGCGUAGAUAUUGGGAAGAACACCAGCGGCGAAAGCGCGCUACUGGGCCAUUACUGACACUCAUGGACGAAAGCUAGGGGAGCGAAAGGG